This 396-nucleotide ribosomal RNA is filed under the name Clostridioides sp. ZZV13-5731. RNAcentral describes it as "partial 23S ribosomal RNA". It matches the Rfam family "Bacterial large subunit ribosomal RNA", at positions 2526 to 2925 of the family's 2925-position model. Lineage: Bacteria; Bacillati; Bacillota; Clostridia; Peptostreptococcales; Peptostreptococcaceae. The record is from RNAcentral.
UCGAUGUCGGCUCAUCACAUCCUGGGGCUGUAGUAGGUCCCAAGGGUUGGGCUGUUCGCCCAUUAAAGUGGUACGCGAGCUGGGUUCAGAACGUCGUGAGACAGUUCGGUCCCUAUCCGUCGCAGGCGUAGGAAAUUUGAGGAGACCUGUCCUUAGUACGAGAGGACCGGGAUGGACGUACCUCUGGUGUACCAGUUGUUCUGCCAAGGGCAUGGCUGGGUAGCUAUGUACGGAAUGGAUAAGCGCUGAAAGCAUCUAAGCGCGAAGCCAACUUCAAGAUAAGAUUUCCCACCGCAAGGGUAAGACCCCAGAAAGACUAUCUGGUUGAUAGGUCGAAGGUGUAAGUGCAGCAAUGUAUUUAGCUUAUCGAUACUAAUAGGUCGAGGACUUGACCAA